GACGAACGCUGGCGGCGUGCUUAACACAUGCAAGUCGAACGGAAAGGCCUCUUUCGGGGGGUACUCGAGUGGCGAACGGGUGAGUAACACGUGAGUAACCUGCCCUUGACUUUGGGAUAACUUCAGGAAACUGGGGCUAAUACCGGAUAGGAGCUCCUGCUGCAUGGUGGGGGUUGGAAAGUUUCGGCGGUUGGGGAUGGGCUCGCGGCUUAUCAGCUUGUUGGUGGGGUAGUGGCUUACCAAGGCUUUGGCGGGUAGCCGGCCUGAGAGAGUGACCGGCGAUAUAGGAACUAAGGGACGGCCCAGACUCCUACGUGAGGCAGCAGUGGGCAAUAUUGCACAAUGGGUGGAAGCCUGAUGCAGCAACGCCGUGUGCGGGAUGACGGCCUUCGGGUUGUAAACCGCUUUCGCUCAUGACGAAGCUUUGUGUGACGGUAGUGGGUAAAGAAGCACCGGCUAACUACGUG
Molecule: ribosomal RNA, 467 nt
Filed under: uncultured bacterium
Lineage: Bacteria
Description: partial 16S ribosomal RNA
Rfam family: Bacterial small subunit ribosomal RNA
Source: RNAcentral